Molecule: ribosomal RNA, 500 nt
Filed under: uncultured bacterium
Lineage: Bacteria
Description: partial 16S ribosomal RNA
Rfam family: Bacterial small subunit ribosomal RNA
Source: RNAcentral
AUUGAACGCUGGCGGAAUGCUUUACACAUGCAAGUCGAACGGCAGCACGGACUUCGGUCUGGUGGCGAGUGGCGAACGGGUGAGUAACAUAUCGGAAAGUAUCCAAUAAUGGGGGAUAACGAACCGAUGGGUUGGCUAAUACCGCAUAAGCCCUACGGGGGAAAGCUAGGGACCUUCGGGCCUGGCGUUAAUGAAGCGGCCGAUAUCUGAUUAGCUAGUUGGUGGGGUACAGGCCCACCAAGGCGACGAUCAGUAGCUGGUCUGAGAGGACGACCAGCCACACUGGAACUGAGACACGGUCCAGACUCCUACGGGAGGCAGCAGUGGGGAAUUUUGGACAAUGGGCGCAAGCCUGAUCCAGCCAUUCCGCGUGAGUGAAGAAGGCCUUCGGGUUGUAAAGCUCUUUCGCAAGGGAAGAAAACUUAGCCUCUAGCAUAGGCUGAGGUUGACGGUACCUUGAUAAGAAGCACCGGCUAACUACGUGCCAGCAGCCGCGGUAA